Molecule: ribosomal RNA, 508 nt
Filed under: uncultured bacterium
Lineage: Bacteria
Description: bacterial SSU rRNA
Rfam family: Bacterial small subunit ribosomal RNA
Source: RNAcentral
AGAGUUUGAUCAUGGCUCAGGACGAACGCUGGCGGCGCGCUUAAUACAUGCAAGUCGAGCGAGAACCUGGGCUUCGGCCCAGGGGAAAGCGGCGAACGGGUGAGUAACACGUGGGUAAUCAACCCCCGACACCGGGAUAGCCCAGGGAAACUUGGAUUAAUACCGGAUGCUCCGUCUGGCCUUCGGGCCGGCCGGAAAAGGGUAGCUUCGGCCUCCGGUCGGGGACGAGCCCGCGGCGGAUUAGCUUGUUGGUGAGGUAAAGGCUCACCAAGGCGACGAUCCGUAGCUGGUCUGAGAGGACGAUCAGCCACACUGGGACUGAGACACGGCCCAGACUCCUACGGGAGGCAGCAGUAGGGAAUCUUGGACAAUGGGCGCAAGCCUGAUCCAGCGACGCCGCGUGGGUGACGAAGGCCUUCGGGUUGUAAAGCCCUUUUCCCGGGGACGAUGAUGACGGUACCCGGGGAAUAAGCACCGGCUAACUCCGUGCCAGCCGCCGCGGUAAUAC